RNAcentral lists this ribosomal RNA (468 nucleotides) under uncultured bacterium. RNAcentral's name for it is "partial 16S ribosomal RNA". It matches the Rfam family "Bacterial small subunit ribosomal RNA", at positions 28 to 507 of the family's 1533-position model. The record is from RNAcentral.
GACGAACGCUGGCGGCGUGCUUAACACAUGCAAGUCGAACGGAAAGGCCCCGCUUUUGUGGGGUGCUCGUGUGGCGAAGGGGUGUGUAACACGUGAGUAAUCUGCCUUUCUCUGUGUUAUCACCUGAGGAAAGGGGGGAUUAUACCGGAUAGGAGCUCCCGCUGCGGGGGGGGGGUGGGAGAUUCUGGGAGGUGGGGGAUGGACUCGCGCCUUCUGAGCUUGUUGGGGGGGUUGUGGCUCACAAAGGCUUUGAGGGGUAGCCGGCCUGAGGGGGUGACCGGCCACAUUGGGACUGGGAUACGGCCAAGACUCCUACGGGAGGCAGCAGUGGGGAAUGUGGCACAAUGGGCGGAAGCCGAAUGCAGCAACGCCGCGUGCGGAAUGCCGGCCUUCGGGUGGUAAACCGCUUUCGCCUGGGAGGAAGCGUGUGUGACGGUAAUGGGUAAAGAAGCACCGGCUAACUACGUG